This 497-nucleotide ribosomal RNA is filed under the name uncultured bacterium. Its description in RNAcentral is "partial 16S ribosomal RNA". It matches the Rfam family "Bacterial small subunit ribosomal RNA", at positions 28 to 507 of the family's 1533-position model. The record is from RNAcentral.
GAUGAACGCUGGCGGCGUGCCUAAUACAUGCAAGUCGAGCGAACAGACGAGGAGCUUGCUCCUCUGACGUUAGCGGCGGACGGGUGAGUAACACGUGGAUAACCUACCUAUAAGACUGGGAUAACUUCGGGAAACCGGAGCUAAUACCGGAUAAUAUAUUGAACCGCAUGGUUCAAUAGUGAAAGACGGUUUUGCUGUCACUUAUAGAUGGAUCCGCGCCGCAUUAGCUAGUUGGUAAGGUAACGGCUUACCAAGGCAACGAUGCGUAGCCGACCUGAGAGGGUGAUCGGCCACACGGGAACUGAGACACGGUCCAGACUCCUCCGGGAGGCAGCAGUAGGGAAUCUUCCGCAAUGGGCGAAAGCCUGACGGAGCAACGCCGCGUGAGUGAUGAAGGUCUUCGGAUCGUAAAACUCUGUUAUUAGGGAAGAACAAAUGUGUAAGUAACUAUGCACGUCUUGACGGUACCUAAUCAGAAAGCCACGGCUAACUACGUG